Molecule: long non-coding RNA, 245 nt
Organism: Lagenorhynchus albirostris (white-beaked dolphin)
Lineage: Eukaryota; Metazoa; Chordata; Mammalia; Artiodactyla; Delphinidae
Exons: 3
Source: RefSeq, a predicted model, not a curated record
UAUAUAAUCUUCGAAAGUGAAUUUCCUCCUUGUUUCUUUUGAAAGAUAUUUUUAAACAUGGAGAGAACAAGUGAUGUAUAACAACUCUAUCAGAAGUUCAUUAUGUGGAAAAUAAGAAAAAAGUGUAAAGAAAAAAACACAAACCUGUAAUCCCAAACCCUAAAGCACGAAGGAGUGCCUGGAGCUGCCUGCAGGCUGUGUGGAAGAUGAAGCUGGCAUCCUGGAGGACAGAGCAGAGACACAGA